GACGCUGGCGGUAGGCUUAACACAUGCAAGUCGGACGGAAACGACAAGAACAAUCACUUCGGUGUGCGUUCUUGGGCGUCGAGUGGCGGACGGGUGAGUAAUGCCUGGGAAUCUACCCUAAUGUUGGGGACAACAUAUGGAAACGUAUGCUAAUACCGAAUAUGAUCUACGGAUUAAAGGUGCCCUCUCCUUGGAAGGUAUCGCAUUAGGAUGAGCCCAGGUGAGAUUAGCUAGUUGGUGAGGUAAUGGCUCACCAAGGCAACGAUCUCUAGCUGGUUUGAGAGGAUGAUCAGCCACACUGGGACUGAGACACGGCCCAGACUCCUACGGGAGGCAGCAGUGGGGAAUAUUGCACAAUGAGCGAAAGCUUGAUGCAGCCAUACCGCGUGUGUGAAGAAGGCCCGAGGGUUGUAAAGCACUUUCAAUUGUGAGGAAGGUAGUGUAGUUAAUACCUGCAUUGCUUGACGUUAACUUUAGAAGAAGCACCGGCUAACUCUGUGCCAGCAGCCGCGGUAAUACAGAGGGUGCAAGCGUUAUUCGGAAUUACUGGGCGUAAAGCGCGCGUAGGCGGAAUAUUAAGUCAGUUGUGAAAGCCCUGGGCUCAACCUGGGAACUGCUUCUGAUACUGGUAUUCUAGAGUUUAGUAGAGGGAAGGGGAAUUCCUAGUGUAGCAGUGAAAUGCGUAGAUAUUAGGAGGAACAUCAGUGGCGAAGGCGCCUUCCUGGACUAAAACUGACGCUGAGGUGCGAAAGCGUGGGUAGCGAACGGGAUUAGAUACCCCGGUAGUCCACGCCGUAAACGAUGUCAACUAGUUGUUGGCCUUAUUAAAAAGGUUAGUAACGAAGCUAACGCGAUAAGUUGACCGCCUGGGG
This 872-nucleotide ribosomal RNA is filed under the name uncultured bacterium. RNAcentral describes it as "bacterial SSU rRNA". It matches the Rfam family "Bacterial small subunit ribosomal RNA", at positions 32 to 878 of the family's 1533-position model. The record is from RNAcentral.